RNAcentral lists this ribosomal RNA (480 nucleotides) under uncultured bacterium. RNAcentral describes it as "SSU rRNA". It matches the Rfam family "Bacterial small subunit ribosomal RNA", at positions 26 to 518 of the family's 1533-position model. The record is from RNAcentral.
AGGACGAACGCUGGCGGCGUGCCUAACACAUGCAAGUGGAGCGACGAACCAGGCUUCGGCCUGGGGCAGAGCCGCGAACGGGUGAGUAACACGUGGGUAACCUGCCCUGAUGAUUGGGACAACCCGAGGAAACUCGGGCUAAUACCGAAUGUGCCCUCCGGCCUCAAGGCCGCUGGGGAAAGGAGCUUCGGCCUCCGCAUCGGGAUGGGCCCGCGGCCCAUUAGCUUGUUGGUGAGGUAACGGCUCACCAAGGCGACGAUGGGUAGCUGGUCUGAGAGGACGAUCAGCCACACUGGGACUGAGACACGGCCCAGACUCCUACGGGAGGCAGCAGUGGGGAAUCUUGCGCAAUGCGCGAAAGCGUGACGCAGCAACGCCGCGUGGGGGAAGACGGCCUUCGGGUUGUAAACCCCUUUCAGUUGGGACGAUUGUGACGGUACCUGCAGAAGAAGCACCGGCCAACUACGUGCCAGCAGCCGC